RNAcentral lists this transfer RNA (86 nucleotides) under Sulfitobacter undariae. RNAcentral's name for it is "tRNA-Leu". It matches the Rfam family "tRNA". Rfam says of the family: Transfer RNA (tRNA) molecules are approximately 80 nucleotides in length. Their secondary structure includes four short double-helical elements and three loops (D, anti-codon, and T loops). Further hydrogen bonds mediate the characteristic L-shaped molecular structure. tRNAs have two regions of fundamental functional importance: the anti-codon, which is responsible for specific mRNA codon recognition, and the 3' end, to which the tRNAs corresponding amino acid is attached (by aminoacyl-tRNA synthetases). tRNAs cope with the degeneracy of the genetic code in two manners: having more than one tRNA (with a specific anti-codon) for a particular amino acid; and 'wobble' base-pairing, i.e. permitting non-standard base-pairing at the 3rd anti-codon position. The record is from RNAcentral. Lineage: Bacteria; Pseudomonadati; Pseudomonadota; Alphaproteobacteria; Rhodobacterales; Roseobacteraceae.
GCCCAAGUGGCGGAAUGGUAGACGCAGGGGAUUCAAAAUCCCCCGCCUUAACAGGUGUGCCGGUUCGAGUCCGGCCUUGGGUACCA